RNAcentral lists this ribosomal RNA (429 nucleotides) under Bacteroidota bacterium. RNAcentral describes it as "Bacteroidetes bacterium partial 16S ribosomal RNA". It matches the Rfam family "Bacterial small subunit ribosomal RNA", at positions 355 to 776 of the family's 1533-position model. The record is from RNAcentral. Lineage: Bacteria; Pseudomonadati; Bacteroidota.
UAGGGAAUCUUCCGCAAUGGACGCAAGUCUGACGGAGCAACGCCGCGUGAGUGAAGAAGGAUUUCGGUUCGUAAAACUCUGUUGUUAGAGAAGAACAGCGCAUAGAGUAACUGUUAUGCGUGUGACGGUAUCUAACCAGAAAGCCACGGCUAACUACGUGCCAGCAGCCGCGGUAAUACGUAGGUGGCAAGCGUUGUCCGGAUUUAUUGGGCGUAAAGCGAGCGCAGGCGGUCAAUUAAGUCUGAUGUGAAAGCCCCCGGCUCAACCGGGGAGGGUCAUUGGAAACUGGUUGACUUGAGUGCAGAAGAGGAGAGUGGAAUUCCAUGUGUAGCGGUGAAAUGCGUAGAUAUAUGGAGGAACACCAGUGGCGAAGGCGACUCUCUGGUCUGUAACUGGCGCUGAGGUUCGAAAGCGUGCGUAGCGAACAGG